This 496-nucleotide ribosomal RNA is filed under the name uncultured bacterium. RNAcentral's name for it is "partial 16S ribosomal RNA". It matches the Rfam family "Bacterial small subunit ribosomal RNA", at positions 28 to 506 of the family's 1533-position model. The record is from RNAcentral.
GAUGAACGCUGGCGGCGUGCCUAAUACAUGCAAGUCGAGCGAACAGACGAGGAGCUUGCUCCUCUGACGUUAGCGGCGGACGGGUGAGUAACACGUGGAUAACCUACCUAUAAGACUGGGAUAACUUCGGGAAACCGGAGCUAAUACCGGAUAAUAUAUUGAACCGCAUGGUUCAAUAGUGAAAGACGGUUUUGCUGUCACUUAUAGAUGGAUCCGCGCCGCAUUAGCUAGUUGGUAAGGUAACGGCUUACCAAGGCGACGAUGCGUAGCCGACCUGAGAGGGUGAUCGGCCACACUGGAACUGAGACACGGUCCAGACUCCUACGGGAGGCAGCAGUAGGGAAUCUUCCGCAAUGGGCGAAAGCCUGACGGAGCAACGCCGCGUGAGUGAUGAGGGUCUUCGGAUCGUAAAACUCUGUUAUUAGGGAAGAACAAAUGUGUAAGUAACUAUGCACGUCUUGACGGUACCUAAUCAGAAAGCCACGGCUAACUACGU